UUAUAAUGUGUCAUACACGUCAACGAGAUCCACACUGCGCGAAAAAGUAUUUAAUCCCCGGCGAUCGUCAGCGCCAGCCACGCGCCGUCCGUACGGACUGCAUAGGCCACAAGUAUUCUGCACUCAAAGUAUGAAAAUCUCGGUUAAAU
Vespa mandarinia (Asian giant hornet) is the source of this 149-nucleotide long non-coding RNA. The record is from RefSeq and is a predicted model, not a curated record. Lineage: Eukaryota; Metazoa; Arthropoda; Insecta; Hymenoptera; Vespidae.